Molecule: non-coding RNA, 119 nt
Organism: Arabis alpina (gray rockcress)
Lineage: Eukaryota; Viridiplantae; Streptophyta; Magnoliopsida; Brassicales; Brassicaceae
Source: Rfam
GGGUGCGAUCAUACCAGCACUAAUGCACCGGAUCCCAUCAGAACUCCGCAGUUAAGCGUGCUUGGGCGAGAGUAGUACUAGGAUGGGUGACCUCCUAGGAAGUCCUCGUGUUGCACCCC